RNAcentral lists this long non-coding RNA (584 nucleotides) under Gossypium barbadense (sea-island cotton). Its description in RNAcentral is "long non-coding RNA (GBAR_LNC003678)". The record is from RNAcentral. Lineage: Eukaryota; Viridiplantae; Streptophyta; Magnoliopsida; Malvales; Malvaceae.
AAAAAAACAAAAGUAGAGAAUUAAAGGAAAAGUUAUUUUGUAAUUAAUUGAAGGAGGUGUUGAGGUCUCCAUCUUCACAAAUUAAAUACGUGGAGAGGUAAGCCAAAUUUCCAACCUUACUUUAUAUUUAUUUCUAAUACAUAUGAGAUAAGCAUCAAGCAGGGGAUAAGUCAUGAUAAUAUUACUAUUAUAUGUACGAAACUGUGAUUUGGUAGUCUAUCUUUGAAAUUGCAUGCAUAAAUAUGGCGAUGUCUAUGGAAAGAAAAUCGUGGCAUUAUGCAUUUGUGCAAUGGUGGUGAGCUCAUUCUUGAUUGGAAAUGCAACAUCAACACCAACACCAACACCAACAUUUGAAGAGGAAAAACAUGCAGUUGCGUGCAGUCGAGGACAUUGCCUACCACCUCCCAAUCCUUCUUCUGAUAGAGGCUGCCAAGCAUCCAACAGAUGCCGAACCACACCACCCUAGAAAUGAACAACUUUAUUCCUUAUCAUUGUCUUUACUAUUUAUUUGCCUACGUUUAUUUUUAUUUAUAUCAUGGAAUAAAUAAAUAAUAUGAAUAAACUAAUUUACUAUUUGAAGUGCG